Spea bombifrons (plains spadefoot toad) is the source of this 276-nucleotide long non-coding RNA. RefSeq lists it as uncharacterized. The record is from RefSeq and is a predicted model, not a curated record. The transcript has 3 exons. Lineage: Eukaryota; Metazoa; Chordata; Amphibia; Anura; Pelobatidae.
UAAGCUGUAAGCAUCAGAAAGGUAGCUUGUUAUAAAGUGUGGUGUAUGAUUGCGAAGGUAGGUAUGGAUAAUGGUAAACAUGUUCCUUAUUGUGCUCUUCUACACCCUGCCAUUUGCCGCUUGUACAUUCGGCAAAAACAAAUGGCAAAAAGAUAAAAUUGUUAAAAAAAAUAAAAUUAUCUUGUACAAAAGGCAACCAAUGCUCUGAUAACUUAGUUAGCCAUUACCAGGAAGUGUCAUCUGGGUCUGGGAAGUAGUGAUUAGAAUAAAGGCAAA